CAUGGCUUUUUGUUAUUAAUAUAAGGUCUGACCUGCCCAAUGAUAGUAUAUUAAAUGGCCGCGGUAUUUUGACCGUGCAAAGGUAGCAUAAUCAUUAGUUUUUUAAUUGAAAGCUUGUAUGAAAGGUUGAAUGAGAAAAUAACUGUCUUUGUGAUAUUUGAUUAGAAUUUUAUCUUUAAGUAAAAAAGCUUAAAUUUAAUUUAAAGACGAGAAGACCCUUUAGAGUUUUAUAAAAUUUGUGUUUUUGAUUUUUUAGAAUUAAUUAUAAUAAAGUAAGAUUUUAUUUGAUUGGGGUGAUUAGAAAAUUUAAAGAACUUUUUUUUUAUUUUACAUUAAUAUAUGAAUAUUUGAUCCAUAAAUUAUGAUUAUAAGAUUAAAUUACCUAAGGGAUAACAGCGUUAUUUUUUUUGAGAGUUCUUAUCGAAAAAAAAGAUUGCGACCUCGAUGUUGGAUUAAAAUUAAAUUAUGGUGUAGAGGCUUUAAC
RNAcentral lists this ribosomal RNA (484 nucleotides) under Meligethes xenogynus. RNAcentral describes it as "partial large subunit ribosomal RNA". It matches the Rfam family "Bacterial large subunit ribosomal RNA", at positions 1814 to 2568 of the family's 2925-position model. Lineage: Eukaryota; Metazoa; Arthropoda; Insecta; Coleoptera; Nitidulidae. The record is from RNAcentral.